RNAcentral lists this ribosomal RNA (468 nucleotides) under uncultured bacterium. RNAcentral describes it as "partial 16S ribosomal RNA". The record is from RNAcentral.
UUACUUACACAUAUGUUCUUCCCUAAUAACAGAGUUUUACGAUCCGAAGACCUUCAUCACUCACGCGGCGUUGCUCCGUCAGGCUUUCGCCCAUUGCGGAAGAUUCCCUACUGCUGCCUCCCGUAGGAGUCUGGACCGUGUCUCAGUUCCAGUGUGGCCGAUCACCCUCUCAGGUCGGCUAUGCAUCGUUGCCUUGGUAAGCCGUUACCUUACCAACUAGCUAAUGCAGCGCGGAUCCAUCUAUAAGUGACAGCAAGACCGUCUUUCACUUUUGAACCAUGCGGUUCAAAAUAUUAUCCGGUAUUAGCUCCGGUUUCCCGAAGUUAUCCCAGUCUUAUAGGUAGGUUAUCCACGUGUUACUCACCCGUCCGCCGCUAACAUCAGAGAAGCAAGCUUCUCGUCCGUUCGCUCGACUUGCAUGUAUUAGGCACGCCGCCAGCGUUCAUCCUGAGCCAGGAUCAAACCCUG